This is a long non-coding RNA of Helianthus annuus (common sunflower), 5062 nucleotides long. RefSeq lists it as uncharacterized. The transcript has 10 exons. Lineage: Eukaryota; Viridiplantae; Streptophyta; Magnoliopsida; Asterales; Asteraceae. The record is from RefSeq and is a predicted model, not a curated record.
ACCAUGAUGUGGCAAUGGUCUUUGGCCAGAGAAAUGGGUUUUAGGCGCCAUAUCUCAAUUCUCUCAAUUCUCCUUACCGCUCACAAUUCCUUCAUUCUUCUUUCAUACGCUCCUUGGAUUAUAUAUGGAAAGUUGAUUAAUUCAUCAAUUACCGGAAGAUCAUAUGGAAGCGUUUCCAAUCUUUUGCAAUUAGUCAAAAGGGGUAUUUUCUACCUUGAAACCCUAAUAUGUUCAUAGGUGAGAGUCAGAGACGCCGAUUUGGGCAAGAGAGAGAUAAUCAUAGCGAGAGAGAUAUGACUGUUAUACAAACUAAUCAGAUUCGCCAACGAUUUACGAGUGCCGAGAUCGAGAGGUAAGAAGAUUUGAAACUCAUUGGUGGAAAAGAUUGUUUCAGUGUUGAUGUAGUCGGCAUUAGGGAUCUCAAGGUGAGUUUAUAUUGUCUAACAAUUAUGAUAAUCUAAGAACGAGUGGCUGUAGGAUACUAAGAACGUUCUUCCACCACAAGGUGAGUUUAUCUUACAGUUAUUUUCUUUUUUAGUUCUCUGACGAAUUCGAUUUUGAGAUUAGGGUUUAUUUUUGUUCAUAUUAUGUUAUUUGAGUUGAUAAGAUGACAAAGAACUAUAACACUACGACUUUCAUGGGUGGUGAUUUCCAUAUUUAGGAUGACGGUUCACUUUUAGGCUCUCUCGAAGGACGGUUCUGUUGGCAAGAGAGUAAAUGAAGGUUUUUGGAUUUCUAUUGAACUUGAGGGAAGCAAGGUUUAGGUCGUUCUUGAAUAUCACAGGACUGUUCCGUAAGUAUAAAGAUCAGAUUGAAACACAUGAAUAAGUUCGCCUGGACACGUUUUCUUAAAGCACUAUUUUUUUUAGGAUUUACAUGAUUAUCUAUUAUUUGAAGCAUCUUAUUAUUGUCUGAAAGAAGGGGAGCUCCAUUGUAUGGAAAUUAGCAAGCGAGCGCUUCGGUCAGCAGAUUUGGAUGAGGUUCUGAUGGCGAAAGGGAAAAUUAGACACAUGAACCCAUUUCAAGAUUGUUUGUGGCUUUGAUUAACUUUCUCUGUUUGUUUGGCGGCCUAAAAAUGGUGACUGAAUCGUCUUUGACUCAAGAAAUUGAUAGAAGAAGACGCUCCAAUUCGAUUUGGAUAUAGGACCACUCUUCUUAUGGAUCAGUGGUGGUCCUGGUUGUUAUGGCCCAGUGGUGGUCCUGGUUGUUCUUCUAUAGCUUAUAAAGUUGCUGAAGAAAUUGGUCCUUUACAUAUUAUGUUAAACUGUAAGCAGUUGUGUAAUUACACUUAAUCAAAUUUGUAUAUCUGUUACAGUUUAUGUUGACGCAACAGAACACCUUCCCGCUGACGAUCCAAAACACCAUCUGGUAGACGCACUAUUGACAGACCCUCUGACAGAAAAAGACGCUUGCCUUGCCAUCUUAUCCUUCAAAACUUGCACAUAAGUGUCCUUUGGAUGUCUUAGCAAAUUCAUUGGUGGAGCCUUUGCAAUAAACGGUAACUUCAGGCCAUUGUAAAGCAAGAAGUUGUGGUUGACCUGAAUCUCCAAUAAACUUUAGAGGAACCAAAGAAUGAUGACGUAGCAGCUGAAAAUGAAACUGAUUUGGACGGUGACAUUUUCGAUGAAAUGCGUGAAGGAGGAUGAUGCUGAACCAACCUCUAAAGAAGAAGAAGAAGGGAGCGACGAUGAUGAUAGUGAUGGCUCAGACGAAGAAGUGAUGGUUCUAAAGAGGAGGAUGAACCUAAAACCAACAGGAUCCAAAACAUUAUUUGUUGGCAAUCUAAGUUACUAUGUUGAAGAAAAUGAUUUUAGUCCCGAGUCUGUCAUCAAACGAUUUGAGCAACAGGAAUAUGCAGUAGAUAGUAAAGGCGUUGUGGAAUACAUUAGAGCUCUUGUUGCCACUGAUGUGAUUUCUGAAUAUCUUGGUGAUGACCAAUCUGGAAAGCCUUCCACUCUUUCUACACUCUUUCUACACUGUUGCAAGAAUUGAAGGAACGCGCUUCGGGAAACUUGGAUGAAACCUUUCUAAGCCCUCGUAUAUCUGAGAGGCAGCCAUUGCAUGUAAUGAUGGUAAGAGUUUACUUUAAAUAUUUGUCACAAGCUGCUGAUUCAAAAGAAGUUGCUUUUUUGUAAGUGCCAUUGCUAAUGAGAAGUUAAAUGCAGAUAAAGAAGCUGCUGGUAGUAAAAAGAAAACAAGUAUGCUGUUAUAGACUAUUAUCUAUACUAAAACAUAAGGAAUCAAAAAGUAAUUUACUCAAUAUUUCAAUUAGGUCAGAGCUAUUCGUGUGAAUACUAACUAAGAAAAAGAGUUACUAAACCGAAGACGUGUCUGCUUCUUGUAAUAAGAACACGGUUUAAUUACAGAUUUCCAAGAAUCUAGGACGAUGGAUAAGUCGAACAUUGAAUUAUUAUAAUACAUGAGCAGGUGAAUCAAUUUCAAUUAAAAAGAGUAGUAAAAAGACCAAAAUACCCUCAAAAGGUUAGUUUUGGCGAAUUUUAAAGUGAAAGGUAUAGUCUGCAGUUUAGAUGAAACGUAAAGGUUGUUUGUCCAAUUUUGUCUUUUUUAUAGUAUAAAUGUGUUAAGCGGAUGAACCCGCCAACCCGACCAGGUUUACCCGAACCCGACUUGCAAAGAUAUGUCAUAUGUGCUUUGCUGAUUUAACUCUUUAAACUUUGGGAAAAAGGAUCUGAUGGCAGUAAAGGGAAGGUGUGUUUUCUUAAUAGACUUUGGAUCAUUAUAUGAAUGUUUGCUUAGUGAUUACUAAAUGUGAAGCCUGGAUAUCCGUAUGUAUCAAGUAAAUAAAUUGAAAUGGAAAAUUGCAUGACCAUUAUCAAACAUAGAAUACAGGAUAAAACCAUAAUAGGCUUGCAACUAGGUUUUCAUAGUGGCAUACUACGAUUUGUCUGUAUAAUUUCAGAGGCUAGUAAAUGGGUCGGACAAGUUGAAUAACUGGUUAUAAUGAGCAAUUUUUUUGGUACAGAUCAGGUUGGAUUGACCUAAUACUAAUUUACUUGUAAGUUAAUUACUUGGAUACAUUUCUUGCUAUUCCUGAAUUGCCUUUGAGUUUAAUUUUAUUUUAUUAGUUCGUCAAGAUAUUUUCAGUUAUUUGACUAAAAUGUGUCUAUUAAUUUUAUGUUGUUUGGUGACACUAGGCAAGUGCCUAGAUGAUGCAGUUGUUGACUGUUGCAUGUCUUAAAUGCCCAUCAUUUUUUAUUUGCACAUGGAGAUACUAUUUUAAAUUAGGAUGUUGACUUUCUUUGUGGGGUCAAAGUAAAUUUGACUAUGACGUUUAGAAUUCUGAUUGAGAAACGGGUCCCUUAAUUGGGUCUUCCACUGCAGCGCAGUGGUUGUUCCCAUCUUGAGGCUUGGCCUGGGGUUUUACUCGGGUUCGAGUCUGAGUGGGGCGCAGUUUUACCUAUUCCACGGAGUUUCUGCACAUCAGGGGUGUGAUACGCUUUCUAGCGGUGGUCGAGUAGUCGGCCUUUGGACAUAACUCCGAAAGGGUGGGUUUACACGUGGAAAGCAGUUAGCCGUUCAAAAAAAUAAAAAACAAAAACGGGUCCCUUAGUUGUAGAACUACAAUUAUAGCCCUUAAUUGCACAUCAGGGGUGUGCUACACUUUCUAAUGGUUUUUGCUAUAUUGCGUUUAAUUGAUAUGAAAGUGCUGAACCGAUGAAUGUCUGAUUUAAAUCCCUAGAUGUCAAUGUAAAGCAUUGUCUCCUUCAUCUCACUCUCUCAAUCUCCGCAGGAGCUUCUAACUCAAAUUAAAGGCAACCCCUCUUUCUCUUUCUCUCUCACUAUCUCUUACACAUUAGUUCAUAUUUUUAAAUUAUAUAAUUAUAUUUGAAGAAAAUUAAUGGCUACAUUGAAAAUUAUAAAGAAUACUGUAGAUGAGGUUUUUUUACCGAUCAAAAUUUUAGUGCCCUUUACUAAUAUUGCACCUGUUACCAAAAUCUAUCUUGGUGGCCUUUACUGAUCAAAAUUUGUAAUGGUGCCCUUUACUCGCAAUUUUUAAUAUGUAGCUGUAAGUAUGAUUGUUAGUAUGUAGCUUAAACAGAUGUGUGAAUGGACUUCAAUGGUUAAUUCUAUUAGAUUUAAGAUUGGUUAAGCCGUAAAUCCAUUUUCUAAAAUCUAUAAUUGCUUUUUAGGAUUUUUGAACUUUUCAGGCGAGUUAAGAGGCGUUGCAAAUAUCGUUGACCAUAUGCGGCGUUGCCAGUGGUGGAGACCAAUUGUGGCAUUGGGGUAAGGAUUCCAUAAAAAUUAAUGUAAAUGGUUGAUUUGAGGUACCGUUUAUGCACCAGGUUAUAAUGGAUUCGUAGAAUAAUAGUAAUAGUUGAAGAGGUAAAGGUUGGGAAAUACAUCAGAGUCCAUCCUAAUCGGUUCCUCACGUUUAAGGGUUUGGAAUUUAUAUCUACUAAUAGCACAAUGGAAAUGAACAGUGUAUAUAGUCGUGGUUUGUUCUGAUUAGGCGAUCAUCCCCCUUUGAGACACGUGUUGUUCAGCUUUACCAACACCUCUUUGAAAGUCUCAGACGAGACUCAAGAGAAAAGCCUGUUACCAUUUCUGUUGAUGAUGGGAUCCGCCCAGGAACAAGUUUGGCAGAUCUUGCAAAAUCAAAACCCGUAUUUAGGAAAGAUGAGUCGAUCACUGCUGCCAAGUGAGUGACGGUGUUGAGCCGUUGUCCUUAUGAAGAGAAGUAUCGCUCUACAGAAAAGAUUACCAACUGUUGGUGUAUUCAGGACUUUUGUUGUUAGUGGUGUACCACCAACAAUAAUGGGCAUUGGCCUUGCUGUGGCAAUUCCAGUUGCAGUUAAGGCUGUUGGGUUUCAAAUGGAUGAUAUUGACCUUUUCGAGAUCAGAGAAGACAUGGUCAUUUGGAAUCACAACACUUGACCACUAAUUUUCUAGACACAACUUUUACUUUCUUCACUUUUUCUCAUUGAGGUUUAUGAGAUUAAAUGAAAGGUAGAUUAGGAAGUUUUUUGUUAGAGCCAACUGCAGUUUAAGCUAGAUAAUGAGACAACUUGACCUGUUGUAUAGAGUUUGCAUAUGUUACAUA